GGGGCGUCGGCCGAGUUGGGACUCCGCGAUGCAGCUCCUGAAGGCGCUCUGGGCACUGGCAGGGGCCGCGCUCUGCUGCUUCCUCGUCCUAGUGAUCCACGCGCAGUUCCUCAAAGAAGCAAGAAUCAUCAAGACCAAGCAGUGGUGUGACAUGCUUCCGUGUCUGGAGGGGGAAGGCUGCGACUUGUUAAUCAACCGGUCAGGCUGGACGUGCACGCAGCCCGGCGGGAGGAUAAAGACCACCACGGUCUCCUGACAAACACAGCCCCUGAGGGGCCCCGGGAGUGGCCUUGGCUCCCUGGAGAGCCCACGCCUCAGCCACAGUUCUCCACUCGCCUUGGACUUCACCCAUUCUCUGCCGCCCGCCCACUCCGUUUCCCUGUGGUCCGUGAAGGACGGCCUCAGGCCUCGGCAUCCUGAGCUUCGGUCUGUCCAGCCGACCCGAGGAGGCCGGACUUGGACACACAGGCGGGGGGCGGCACCUGGCAUCAGCAAUACGCAGUCUGUGGGAGCCCGGCCGCGCCCAGCCCCCGCCGACCGUGGCGUUGGCCCUGCUGUCCUCAGAGGAGGAGGAGGAGGAGGCAGCUCCGGCAGCCACAGAAGGCUGCAGCCCAGCCCGCCUGAGACACGACGCCUGCCCCAGGGGACUGUCAGGCACAGAAGCGGCCUCCUCCCGUGCCCCAGACUGUCUGAAUUGCUUUUAUUUUCUUAUACUUUCAGUAUACUCCAUAGACCAAAGAGCAAAAUCUAUCUGAACGUGGACGCACCCUCACUGUCAGGGUCCCUGGGGUCGCUUGUGCGUGCGGGAGGGCAAUGGUGGCAGAGACAUGCUGGUGGCCCCGGCGGAGCGGAGAGGGCGGCCGUGGUGGAGGCCUCCACCCCAGGAGCACCCCGCGC
Molecule: small RNA, 897 nt
Filed under: Pan troglodytes (chimpanzee)
Lineage: Eukaryota; Metazoa; Chordata; Mammalia; Primates; Hominidae
Description: processed transcript
Source: RNAcentral